RNAcentral lists this ribosomal RNA (660 nucleotides) under Triticum aestivum (bread wheat). Its description in RNAcentral is "partial small subunit ribosomal RNA". The record is from RNAcentral. Lineage: Eukaryota; Viridiplantae; Streptophyta; Magnoliopsida; Poales; Poaceae.
AUGGCAUCUCUUGAGCUCGACUCUACCCUAGCCCUCUGCCUCCUCUUUGUGGUAUCUUGCUUCACCGUCCUCCUCAGAGGCUUCGGAUAUGGCCGCCGGAGUGCGCAGCCGCCUUCGCCGCCUGGGCUGCCCAUCAUCGGCAACCUGCACCAGCUCGGGCGAGGCCGCCCUCACCGGACGCUGGAGGCUCUCGCGCGGCGCCACGGGCCGCUCAUGUUCCUCCGCCUCGGCUCCGUGCGGGCCAUCGUGGUCUCCUCGGCCUCGCUCGCCGAGGCGGUGCUCAGGACCCAGGACAACGUCUUCUGCAGCCGCCCGCAGCAGUACACGGCCCGGGGCACGCUCUACGGCCGCAGGGACGUCGGCUUCAGCGCCUACAGCGAGCGCUGGCGCCAGCUCCGCCGCAUCGCCGUGGUGCACCUCCUCAGCGUGAAGCGGGUCGACUCCUUCCGCGCCCUCCGGGAGGAGGAGGUGGCGCGCUUCGUGGAACGGGUCCGCGGCUGCCAGUGCCGCCCAGGAGGAUGGCGGCAAACGCCCGGGAGUCAACGUCACCGAGCUCAUAAUCACCCUAACCUACUCCGUGAUCUUGAGGGCGGCUUUCGGGCACAAACUUGGCGGCGUGGAGCCGGCCAAGGUCCGCGACAUGAUGAAGGAGCUCACUGA